Tarenaya hassleriana is the source of this 315-nucleotide long non-coding RNA. RefSeq lists it as uncharacterized. The record is from RefSeq and is a predicted model, not a curated record. NCBI's taxonomy places the organism in Eukaryota, Viridiplantae, Streptophyta, Magnoliopsida, Brassicales, Cleomaceae. The transcript has 2 exons.
ACAGAGUUAUACCAUCUCUUAAACCGAAGCACUUGUUUUCCGGCAAAAGGAGCAUCGGCAAAACCCAAAGGCGCUAAAAACUCUCCAGGGAAAACUGGUGGAUCCAGCAGAGAUUUAUGUCUGAAGUUUUGGAUGGUGUCGUCUCAGAAUCUUUCGUUUCUUGUUCAGUUGAUUCAAUCUUUGUUUUCGUUUCAAAAAGUUGUUUAUUUAUUUUUAAUUUUGAUUGUUUCAUUUUUCUAAAUUUUCAUAUUUAUUUUAGAUUUAAUUUUGUUUUAACAAAUUUAUUUCUAAUCGAGUUUCAUGUCGAAAUUAAUU